AUCUCGCAAUAUAGGUAAUAUGAAAGAUAUAUUUCUUGAUAAACCAAGGCAAGUAUAUAAAGAAACUAUUAUGGAUAAUUAGCUAUAUAUUAAAGAAAUUCUAGUAAAUCUAGAUUCUAAGAGAAAUCCUAUAAUAAACGAAGUGAAUUGAAAUAUCUUAGUAACUUCAGGAAAGGAAAUCAAACGAGAUUGUUAUUUGGUGUCAACUAAAUAACAAAAGCCUAUUAACAAAACUUGUUAAAGUAAAACGGAUUAAAAUCUGUUUGAAUAAAGGGGAACCUUCCUCUAAGGCUAAAUAUGAUAUAUAAGCGAUAGUGAAAAGUACCGUGAGGUAAAAUUUGAAAUAGUAGUUUUAUAAGCAGCUCGAGUGAAAAUUUAAAUAAAUAAUAAGAGCGUACCUUUUGCAUAAUGGGUCAGCAAGUUAAUUUUAGAUGCAAGCAAUGAUUUCAUCAAAUUGAUGAAACUAGCUUAGAUAAACCAAUUAUGAGAAAAUGAAUAAGUAUCUAGAAUUAGACCCGAAGGCUAGUGAUCUUACCAUGGUCAGGGUUAUAAAAGCCCGAACGGGUUAUCGUUGUAUAGAUAUCCGAAGAAUUGUGGUAAGUUAGUGAAAGACAAAACUGACUAGUAUAGCUGGUUUUCCGCGAAACCUAUAUGAGUAGGUAAUUCAAUUAACAUCUUAGCAGGUACAGAACUGUGAUCUCGGACAAUAUCUUUUGAUUUUGUCAACAUCGGGGGGUUGUAGCGACUUUACCGGAGAGUAUUUGCACUCGGAAUGGCAAAGAUGAAUGUUGAAUAAUCGGACAUAGUGCGAUAAGGUUGUAUGUCAAAAGGGAAACAGCCCAGAACAAGAGUUAAGGUUCCAAAAUUAUUGUUGAGUGAAAUUAAGGAUGUUUUUUUUUAAUACAAUCAGGAAAUAGGCUUAGAAGCGGCCAUUUUUUGAAGACCUCGUAACAGAGCACUGAUUAAAAUUCUUAGAAAAAAACACCGAAAAUUUAACGGAUCUAAACAAUAUACCGAAACCUUGUACACAUAUUAUAAUUAUAAAAAUUGUAUAUGUGGGGUAGCGGAACAUUGGAUAAAUAUUAAUUAUUAUUUCUUCUAAGAAAUAAUAAGUAUGAAUACUUAUUAAUAAAAUAAAGAUAUAAUAUUAUUAUAUAUAAAAAAUAUAAUGGUUUAUAUGUAUAAAUAUUAAAAUUAUUCAUCGAUAUAAUCCAAGAGAGAAUGCUGACAUGAGUAACGAAAAAGGAAUAUCCUCGCCUUAAGCUUAUGGUAUUAUAUUUAAUUUUCGGUAUCUAAAAGUAUUAAUCAAAAGGUAAUUUUGAUGAUAUUUAUAUAUUAAUACUUAAAAGUAUAAAACAAAACCUUUAACAAGUAAUAAAGGUUCUGGAAAAUUUUAUUUACUUUAAAUAAAGUUUAUUUUGUAUAAUUAUAUAACUUCUUGUUACAAGUUUUCAAGAUUGUAUAAUAUUAUAUGCAGAAUAUAUUUUUAUUUUUAUAUUAUUUAUAAUAUAAUAAGAUUUAUAUAUACCGUACCUAGAUACUAUCACAAGUAAGCAAGUAGAGAAUACAAAGGCGUUUGAGUGAACAAUCAUUAAGGAACUCGGCAAAUUGACUACCGUAACUUCGGGAUAAGGAGGGCCAUUAUCAUUAGUUUAACAUAUCUUAUGAUAUGAUUUAAUUAAAUUAAUGGUAAGAGGAAACAUAAAAUAAUGUUGUACGACUGUUUAAUAAAAACACAGCACUCUGCAAAGAUAAAAUAUCUAAGUAUUGAGUGUGAUGUCUGCCCAAUGUCGGCUGGGUAACGGAUUUACCUUGGUUUUUAACUUAGGUUUUGAAGGAUACCCCGAUUAAUGGCGGCCUUACCUAUGAGGGUCCUAAGGUAGCGAAAUACCUUGGCCGUUAAAUGCGGUCCUGCAUGAAUGACUUAACGAUACAACAGCUGUCUCGAUGAUUGUCUCAGUGAAAUUGGAAUAGCAGUGCAGAUACUGUUUACCUCUAGAUAGACGAGAAGACCCUAUGCAGCUUUACUGUUACUAAUUGCAAAAGUGAAAAUUUAGGAUGAUUGCGAGUGUAUAAGGUAGUUGUUUGAUAACAAUGAAACACCUUUAUUCGUUUCCUAUUAUAUGCUUUUGAGGAUUAGGAGGCAGUUUAUGCGGGGCACAGAUCCCACAAAAAGUACCUGGGUAUAUCCAAAGUUCAUAUUGUAAAUUUGUAAAUUUUCUUUACAAUUAUUUUAAUUUGUAAUAAUUAUUUUUAUAAUUAUACAGUUAUUAUUAGAUUAAAUUCAAUUUUUAUUUUUAUUUUAAGUAAGAUUUUAACUAUAUGGUGAAUAGAUGUAUUUUAAACUUUAAUAUUUAAAAGUUUUUUGUCAUGUUAAUAUUGCAUAUUUACCUUUAUUAAUAUGAUAAUUAAUUAUACUUUCAAAGUUUAAUGGCUAAAUCUUGCUUUACUGUUUGACCUACAAGUCUAUCAGUCGCGUAAGCGGGGCAUAUGAUCACAAGAUGCAUAAAGGAAAGGUCUUGGAUUAUAGAAAAAGUUACGCUAGGGAUUUAGAACUGUGAGUCCUCCAAUAUUAAAAAAUAUUGGUAAUAUAUUGGGUAAAUUUCAAAGAUAACUUAAAAUGAUUUAAGUGUAUUUGAAGCGAAACUUAUUUUAGCAAUAAGCAAUAGUAUAAUAUUGUUUAAUCAUAGAAUUAAAUCCUAUGAUAAAAUAAGGACGUUCAACGA
This 2726-nucleotide ribosomal RNA is filed under the name Aspergillus olivimuriae. RNAcentral describes it as "bacterial LSU rRNA". It matches the Rfam family "Bacterial large subunit ribosomal RNA". The record is from RNAcentral. Lineage: Eukaryota; Fungi; Ascomycota; Eurotiomycetes; Eurotiales; Aspergillaceae.